CUCACCCGCCGCCGCUCCCUAACCCUAGCCCCAAUCCACAGCCCCGCGCCCCUCGCUCCUCCCUCCCUCGUCCUCACCCGCCGCCGCUCCCUCCAACCACCUCCUCCUCCUUCCGAUGGGUCGCCGGAUCCGUCGGCCACCCCAUGGACUUCGCCUGGAAAACGCGGGCUGGGAGAGAGAGCGCGGGCGGGUGGUAGAGGAGGGUGGCGGGCGCCGACGUCGCAGUCGAGGGGGAGCAGGGCCAGUCGGCCGGAGCUGGAGGCCGGCGCUGGAGGAAGGAGCGGCGAGGAGAGAGGCGCCGGCCAUCGGGGACCUCCUAGCCCUCUUCUCCUUGUCGCCAUGGCAGGUGGAGCUCGAGCCAUCGGUCAGCCUCCCCCUCCCCAUGCGUAGAACAAUGUGUGCAGAUCUGUAAAAGAAGAGAAGAGGAAGAAUCCCAAGGAAGAGUUUGGUGAAGAAGAAUAAGGUGACUAUGUGAGUUGCAUUGACAGAAUCCAUGUAUUAAGCUGGGGCAUUUUUGGCAGCUGCAGCAACCUGACAAUUCAUUUGUUCUCAUACAAGGUAAUUUACUUCCCCCCUUUAUGUAUCAUGGAUGGAUAUAUGUGCUGGUUGGUUGUCAUUACUGAAGCAAGAAUUGUUGAUGAUGACUACCUUCGAGCAGGUUUUUAUUGGUUUUUCUUUCUC
Molecule: long non-coding RNA, 681 nt
Organism: Triticum dicoccoides
Lineage: Eukaryota; Viridiplantae; Streptophyta; Magnoliopsida; Poales; Poaceae
Exons: 3
Source: RefSeq, a predicted model, not a curated record